CCAGACGGUCGGAUGGCUGCCUUCGGCGCGGUUUGCCGCGCCGGGGGAGGAAAGUCCGGGCUCCACGGGAACACGGUGCCGGGUAAUCCCCGGCGGGGGCGACCCUAGGGAAAGUGCCACAGAAAGCAAACCGCCCGUCGUAGCGCCCAUGGCGCGAAGGCGGGUAAGGGUGAAAGGGUGCGGUAAGAGCGCACCGCGUCCCCGGCGACGGGG
RNAcentral lists this RNase P RNA (213 nucleotides) under Rhodospirillales bacterium. RNAcentral describes it as "partial RNase P RNA component class A". It matches the Rfam family "Bacterial RNase P class A", at positions 1 to 197 of the family's 367-position model. From Rfam's summary of the family: Ribonuclease P (RNase P) is a ubiquitous endoribonuclease, found in archaea, bacteria and eukarya as well as chloroplasts and mitochondria. Its best characterised activity is the generation of mature 5'-ends of tRNAs by cleaving the 5'-leader elements of precursor-tRNAs. Lineage: Bacteria; Pseudomonadati; Pseudomonadota; Alphaproteobacteria; Rhodospirillales. The record is from RNAcentral.